Molecule: long non-coding RNA, 139 nt
Organism: Thalassophryne amazonica
Lineage: Eukaryota; Metazoa; Chordata; Actinopteri; Batrachoidiformes; Batrachoididae
Exons: 2
Source: RefSeq, a predicted model, not a curated record
CUUCAAUCACUCUCAUUUGUGACAAUGAGGUGCAAAUGGGCACUCUCAAUGAAUAGACUGUUGAUCCGCAUGUGAUCCGUAUUGUGGAAUUAGCAGAUAUUUGAUUUUAACUUUGAAAAGCCCUUUUGAUCUAUACUUU